AUUGAACGCUGGCGGCAGGCCUAACACAUGCAAGUCGAACGGUAACAGGAAGAAGCUUGCUUCUUUGCUGACGAGUGGCGGACGGGUGAGUAAUGUCUGGGAAACUGCCUGAUGGAGGGGGAUAACUACUGGAAACGGUAGCUAAUACCGCAUAACGUCGCAAGACCAAAGAGGGGGACCUUCGGGCCUCUUGCCAUCGGAUGUGCCCAGAUGGGAUUAGCUAGUAGGUGGGGUAACGGCUCACCUAGGCGACGAUCCCUAGCUGGUCUGAGAGGAUGACAAGCCACACUGGAACUGAGACACGGUCCAGACUCCUACGGGAGGCAGCAGUGGGGAAUAUUGCACAAUGGGCGCAAGCCUGAUGCAGCCAUGCCGCGUGUAUGAAGAAGGCCUUCGGGUUGUAAAGUACUUUCAGCGGGGAGGAAGGGAGUAAAGUUAAUACCUUUGCUCAUUGACGUUACCCGCAGAAGAAGCACUGGCUAACUCCGUG
Molecule: ribosomal RNA, 490 nt
Filed under: uncultured bacterium
Lineage: Bacteria
Description: partial 16S ribosomal RNA
Rfam family: Bacterial small subunit ribosomal RNA
Source: RNAcentral